Molecule: ribosomal RNA, 241 nt
Filed under: uncultured bacterium
Lineage: Bacteria
Description: partial 16S ribosomal RNA
Rfam family: Bacterial small subunit ribosomal RNA
Source: RNAcentral
GAUCCUGGCUCAGGAUGAACGCUGGCGGCGUGCUUAACACAUGCAAGUCGAACGAAGAAGGUUAGAAUGAGAGCUUCGGCAGGAUUUCUUUCCAUCUUAGUGGCGGACGGGUGAGUAACGUGUGGGCAACCUGCCCUGUACUGGGGAAUAAUCAUUGGAAACGAUGACUAAUACCGCAUGUGGUCCUCGGAAGGCAUCUUCUGAGGAAGAAAGGAUUUAUUCGGUACAGGAUGGGCCCGCA